UGUCAGUCACUAACUUAAAACUGUCUUUUU
This 30-nucleotide non-coding RNA is filed under the name Rattus norvegicus (Norway rat). The record is from RNAcentral. Lineage: Eukaryota; Metazoa; Chordata; Mammalia; Rodentia; Muridae.